Molecule: unclassified non-coding RNA, 363 nt
Filed under: uncultured Pezizales
Lineage: Eukaryota; Fungi; Ascomycota; Pezizomycetes; Pezizales
Description: sequence contains ITS1
Rfam family: 5.8S ribosomal RNA (bases 1-105)
Source: RNAcentral
GAAAUGCGAUAAGUAGUGUGAAUUGCAGAAUUCAGUGAAUCAUCGAAUCUUUGAACGCACAUUGCGCCUCCUGGUAUUCCGGGAGGCAUGCCUGUCCGAGCGUCAUGCAAAAACAUAAACCUUGCCCAGUGAUUUUCUGGGUCCAAGGUUUGCUUUUGAGGGAUGAGCCUUGCUAGCUUCGGCUCCCCCUAGAAUUCCAGAGGCGAACUGAAAUGGAUAAACACCGCGGGUGGUAGUAGGUAGUAGUAAAGAAAUUUUCUCGCCCAUCCCUCCCUACGGUUUUCAUUACUCUUCAGCCGAUCAAACCAUCGAUUAACUUCUGUUUUUGACCUCGGAUCAGGUAGGGAUACCCGCUGAACUUAA